ACGCACGCUGGCGGCGUGCCUCAUCCAUUCAAGUAGAACGCUGAAGGAGGAGCUUGCUUCUCCGGAUGAGUUGCGAACGGGUGAGUAACGCGUAGGUAACCUGCCUGUUAGCGGGGGAUAACUAUUGGAAACGAUAGCUAAUACCGCAUAAGAGUAGAUGUCGCAUGACAUUUGCUUAAAAGGUGCAACUGCACCACUACCAGAUGGACCUGCGUUGUAUUAGCUAGUUGGUGAGGUAACGGCUCACCAAGGCAACGAUACAUAGCCGACCUGAGAGGGUGGUCAGCCACACUGAGACUGAGACACGGCCCAGACGCCUACGGGAGGCAGCAGGAGGGAAUCUUCGGCAAUGGACGGAAGACUGACCGAGCAACGCCGCGGGAGUGAGGAAGGUUGUCGGAUCGUAAAGCUCUGUUGUAAGAGAAGAACGAGUGUGAGAGUGGAAAGUUCACACUGUGACGGUAUCUUACCAGAAAGGGACGGCUAACUACGUG
Molecule: ribosomal RNA, 494 nt
Filed under: uncultured bacterium
Lineage: Bacteria
Description: partial 16S ribosomal RNA
Rfam family: Bacterial small subunit ribosomal RNA
Source: RNAcentral